RNAcentral lists this ribosomal RNA (431 nucleotides) under uncultured bacterium. RNAcentral's name for it is "bacterial SSU rRNA". It matches the Rfam family "Bacterial small subunit ribosomal RNA", at positions 340 to 786 of the family's 1533-position model. The record is from RNAcentral.
UACGGAAGGCAGCAGGGGGAAUAUUGGACAAUGGGCGAAAGCCUGAUCCAGCCAUGCCGCAUGAGUGAAGAAGGCCUUCGGGUUGUAAAGCUCUUUUAGUGAGAAAGAUAAUGACGGUACUCACAGAAGAAGUCCUGGCUAACUCCGUGCCAGCAGCCGCGGUAAUACGGAGAGGGCUAGCGUUAUUCGGAAUUAUUGGGCGUAAAGAGCGCGUAGGCUGAUUAGUAAGUUAAAAGUGAAAUCCCAAAGCUUAACUUUGGAAUUGCUUUUUAAAACUGCUAGUCUAGAGAUUGAAAGAGGAUAGAGAAAUUCCUAAUGUAGAGGUGAAAUUCGUAAAUAUUAGGAGGAACACCAGUGGCGAAGGCGUCUAUCUGGUUCAAAUCUGACGCUGAGGCGCGAAGGGCGUGGGGAGCAAACAGGGAUUAGAUACC